RNAcentral lists this ribosomal RNA (1003 nucleotides) under Streptomyces bungoensis. RNAcentral describes it as "bacterial SSU rRNA". It matches the Rfam family "Bacterial small subunit ribosomal RNA", at positions 102 to 1115 of the family's 1533-position model. The record is from RNAcentral. Lineage: Bacteria; Bacillati; Actinomycetota; Actinomycetes; Kitasatosporales; Streptomycetaceae.
ACGGGUGAGUAACACGUGGGCAAUCUGCCCUUCACUCUGGGACAAGCCCUGGAAACGGGGUCUAAUACCGGAUAUCACUCCUGCAGGCAUCUGCAGGGGUCGAAAGCUCCGGCGGUGAAGGAUGAGCCCGCGGCCUAUCAGCUUGUUGGUGAGGUAAUGGCUCACCAAGGCGACGACGGGUAGCCGGCCUGAGAGGGCGACCGGCCACACUGGGACUGAGACACGGCCCAGACUCCUACGGGAGGCAGCAGUGGGGAAUAUUGCACAAUGGGCGAAAGCCUGAUGCAGCGACGCCGCGUGAGGGAUGACGGCCUUCGGGUUGUAAACCUCUUUCAGCAGGGAAGAAGCGAAAGUGACGGUACCUGCAGAAGAAGCGCCGGCUAACUACGUGCCAGCAGCCGCGGUAAUACGUAGGGCGCAAGCGUUGUCCGGAAUUAUUGGGCGUAAAGAGCUCGUAGGCGGCUUGUCACGUCGGGUGUGAAAGCCCGGGGCUUAACCCCGGGUCUGCAUUCGAUACGGGCUAGCUAGAGUGUGGUAGGGGAGAUCGGAAUUCCUGGUGUAGCGGUGAAAUGCGCAGAUAUCAGGAGGAACACCGGUGGCGAAGGCGGAUCUCUGGGCCAUUACUGACGCUGAGGAGCGAAAGCGUGGGGAGCGAACAGGAUUAGAUACCCUGGUAGUCCACGCCGUAAACGGUGGGAACUAGGUGUUGGCGACAUUCCACGUCGUCGGUGCCGCAGCUAACGCAUUAAGUUCCCCGCCUGGGGAGUACGGCCGCAAGGCUAAAACUCAAAGGAAUUUGACGGGGGCCCGCACAGCAGCGGAGCAUGUGGCUUAAUUUCGACGCAACGCGAGAACCCUUACCAAGGCUUUGACAUACACCGGGAACGUCUUGGAGACAGGCGCCCCCUUGUGGUCCGGUGUACAGUGUGCAUGGGCUGUCGUUCAGCUCGUGUGUGAGAUGUGGGUUAAGUCCCCGCAACGAAGCGCAACCUUGUCCUGGUAU